GCUUACGGCCACACCGCCUGGUUCACGCCCGAUCUCGUUUGAUCUCGGAAGCAAAGAUAGGGUGGGCCUGGUUAGUACUUGGAUGGGAGACCGCCUGGGAAUACCAGGUGUUGUAAGAU
RNAcentral lists this ribosomal RNA (119 nucleotides) under Scophthalmus maximus (turbot). The record is from RNAcentral. Lineage: Eukaryota; Metazoa; Chordata; Actinopteri; Pleuronectiformes; Scophthalmidae.